GUGGCUCAGUGGUAGAGUGCUUGCCUUGCAUGCAUGAGGCCCUGGGUUUGAUUCCAUGC
Molecule: transfer RNA, 59 nt
Filed under: Dipodomys ordii (Ord's kangaroo rat)
Lineage: Eukaryota; Metazoa; Chordata; Mammalia; Rodentia; Heteromyidae
Rfam family: tRNA
About the family: Transfer RNA (tRNA) molecules are approximately 80 nucleotides in length. Their secondary structure includes four short double-helical elements and three loops (D, anti-codon, and T loops). Further hydrogen bonds mediate the characteristic L-shaped molecular structure. tRNAs have two regions of fundamental functional importance: the anti-codon, which is responsible for specific mRNA codon recognition, and the 3' end, to which the tRNAs corresponding amino acid is attached (by aminoacyl-tRNA synthetases). tRNAs cope with the degeneracy of the genetic code in two manners: having more than one tRNA (with a specific anti-codon) for a particular amino acid; and 'wobble' base-pairing, i.e. permitting non-standard base-pairing at the 3rd anti-codon position.
Source: Rfam by way of RNAcentral